GCAUGCUUCAGCAGUACAUAUAUUGAAAAUGGAGUGAUAGAGAAGAUUAGUAUGGCCCCUGCACAAGGAUGACAUGCAAAUUCAUGAAGCAUUCCACAUUUUU
Molecule: small nuclear RNA, 103 nt
Organism: Manis pentadactyla (Chinese pangolin)
Lineage: Eukaryota; Metazoa; Chordata; Mammalia; Pholidota; Manidae
Source: RefSeq, a predicted model, not a curated record